CAGCAGUAGGGAAUCUUCCACAAUGGACGAAAGUCUGAUGGAGCAACGCCGCGUGAGUGAUGAAGGGUUUCGGCUCGUAAAACUCUGUUGUUGGAGAAGAACAGGUGAUAGAGUAACUGUUAUCAUCUUGACGGUAUCCAACCAGAAAGCCACGGCUAACUACGUGCCAGCAGCCGCGGUAAUACGUAGGUGGCAAGCGUUGUCCGGAUUUAUUGGGCGUAAAGCGAGCGCAGGCGGUUUUUUAGGUCUGAUGUGAAAGCCUUCGGCUUAACCGGAGAAGGGCAUCGGAAACCGGGAGACUUGAGUGCAGAAGAGGACAGUGGAACUCCAUGUGUAGCGGUGAAAUGCGUAGAUAUAUGGAAGAACACCAGUGGCUAAGGCGGCUGUCUGGUCUGUAACUGACGCUGAGGCUCGAAAGCAUGGGUAGCGAACAGGAUUAGA
This 441-nucleotide ribosomal RNA is filed under the name uncultured Lactobacillus sp. RNAcentral describes it as "bacterial SSU rRNA". It matches the Rfam family "Bacterial small subunit ribosomal RNA", at positions 349 to 782 of the family's 1533-position model. The record is from RNAcentral. Lineage: Bacteria; Bacillati; Bacillota; Bacilli; Lactobacillales; Lactobacillaceae.